Molecule: non-coding RNA, 85 nt
Organism: Felis catus (domestic cat)
Lineage: Eukaryota; Metazoa; Chordata; Mammalia; Carnivora; Felidae
Source: Rfam
GCCUGGGUGGCUCAGUCAGUUAAGCAUCUGACUUCGGCUCAGGUCAUGAUCUCACAGCUUGUGGGUUCAAGCCCCAUGUCCGGCU